Frieseomelitta varia is the source of this 2237-nucleotide RNA transcript. It is a transcript of the gene named QRFP-like peptide receptor, with no coding region annotated. The transcript has 11 exons. The record is from RefSeq and is a predicted model, not a curated record. Lineage: Eukaryota; Metazoa; Arthropoda; Insecta; Hymenoptera; Apidae.
UAUGAAGAAGCGUCGUGGUGUGACUGUUGUGUCCAAUUUUACUUCGUGUAUUUCUCGAACGAUGAGUGACGAGAAGUCAGUGGGUGAUAUCAAAUCGUGAUAGCAAUCAGGCGACACUGUGCAGCAUGACAGAGCGUCGUUCGGCUAUUUUCAUCGUUGUUCCAUUAAACCACCCUUUAGGGCAAGUAAUGAUCGGGAUCAUGGCAAGAUAUGCGAGGAAAACCGAGCGAACGAAGUUGGACAAACUGUUUUAAGAGCGUGCACGAUGGAAAACGCUCGACAAGUGGACGCAGCCUGUGAAGUGUCGUUGUCAAGAAGCUAAUCGCAGUCAUGUCGAACAAGACAAAUGCCACGGACGAUUUUCUCGAUUAUGAUAUGAACGAGUCGUUCGGCCGCUUCGACUGGGCGGAACUUGGACCAGUUCUUGUCGUCUAUUCGCUGACGUUUUUCCUUGGAUUAAUCGGAAACGUCGUCAUCAUUGGUUCGACGUUGUGUCCAAGAUUGAGACCUUUACCAGCGACUCCAACUAACGUCUUUCUGGGUGGUUUGGCAACGGCCGAUCUUCUCCUCAUACUCUUCUGCAUUCCCGUGAAAGUGGCCAAGCUGUUCUCCUACACGUGGACGAUGGGCCUGUUUCUAUGCAAGUCGGUGCACUAUAUGCAGAGCGUUUCGGCUAUUUGCUCGGUCGUCACGUUAACCGCAAUGUCGAUCGAAAGGUAUUACGCUAUAGUUCAUCCAAUGCGGGCGCAGUACACGUGCACGAUAAGUCAGGCUCGCAAAAUAGUAAUUACAACUUGGGUGGUGUCAUUCCUCCUUGGUAUUCCCAUGAUUUUCACGCAGACGCACAAAGAGGUUGGAAUGAGGGUAAUUGCUUACUGGUGCGUGCGCGAUUCAGAAUCUGGACUCUUAUGGCGCGCCCACGAGGUUUACAUGCUGGUCUUGGUGCUGGUGCUGCCCUUGACCGUGAUGGCGUAUUGUUAUACCGCCAUUUGCUGGGAGAUUUGGCGAGUUAUGAAACGUCGAUAUCAGAUGACAUCUCGGCGAACGCUGAAUCCGACCAACAUCGAUACAGAAUCCAUACCAAUGACCCAGAGACAGAGCAUACGAAAUAAUCGUCGCGUUCAGAGACAAGAUGAUCAGACUGAAGAGGAAUCUCGAACGAUAAGACAGGUGGUGAAGAUGUUGGUUGCGGUGGUCGUGCUGUUUGUUAUUUGCUGGGGUCCAAUCCUCGUGGACAACAUGCUCACAUCCUAUGGCUACUUACCACGAGUAAAAGUCGGCACGUACAAACACCUCAACACAGCGUUUCAGCUGAUGGCAUACUUUAACAGUUGCAUAAAUCCGAUCGUUUACGGAUUCAUGUCGAAGCACUUUAGGGAGAGUUUCCUGUCAGCGGCCUGCGGCGGCUGGUGGAUAUGCUGCCCGAGAAGGGGUUACAGAGCACCUGUGAAAAGGCAUCCGAGCCUCAGCCAGACCAGGACGACCAGUAUCAGGUGGACACGAAACUCGUUCCGGGAGUCGAAGUAUCAAAACUCAGCUGACAACCAUCUCGUAGUCCAUCCGUGAUAAACCUUUUGGCAAACAUCGUUGUCCACGAGCGUCCGAAAUGUCGCAUAAACACGAUGAACACUCUGGCUAGAAACACGAUUUCCUCUAGAUGGACUUGAUUAUUUCGUCGUGCCCGGCCCACGUCGAGGCAGCUCUUUCACAGGUAAAAUUAACGAAAGAACAGGCAGAACAGGCUUGAAGAAGAAAUCUAGAAGACAAAGUGUUUUCCCUUGUUCUCGAAUAAUUUCUGAACGAGCGAGAUGCCAAGUAUAAAGUACUCAGAGUCUGUCGUUCACGGAAACUCGUGUGUCGAAUCUCGCGAUUUGUUUUUUCUUUUUUUUUCUUUUCUUUUCACUAAAGUGUAAAGCAUUGCUCAAGUUGUGCGUAGAUGUUGAGAGAGAAUUGCUACGAGUGAAUUUGUCGUGUGAAACGCGUGACAUUUGUCUCGAAAAUAAACGGCGAAGAGCAUAAUUGCAUGACCUGUGAUUAAUUGUGGAUUUCGUGUGAAAUUAUUCUUCAUCGUCGUUGACAUUAAGAUGACAGAGACAUUUUAAAUAAUAAUUAAUUCCAGCUGAAGUUAAGAGAUGACGAACAUAAUCGACAUUCGCGAGUAAUUGUAACAAAGUGGCAAUUUGAAUUUCUCGAAAUAUAAAAGUCAGUAAUUUUAUUGUAAUUUGAUUUUAAUCUAA